RNAcentral lists this ribosomal RNA (863 nucleotides) under uncultured archaeon. RNAcentral's name for it is "SSU rRNA". It matches the Rfam family "Archaeal small subunit ribosomal RNA", at positions 474 to 1337 of the family's 1478-position model. The record is from RNAcentral.
UACCAGCCCCCUGAGUGAUAGGGACGACUAUUUAGCCUAAAGCGUCCGUAGCCGGUUUAGUAAGUCUUUCGUUAAAUCUGACGACUUAAUCGCCAGGCCGCGGAAGAUACUGCUAGACUAGAGGGCGGGAGAGGUUGACGGUAGUCCCGGGGUAGGGGUGAAAUCCUAUAAUCCCGGGAGGACCACCAGUGGCGAAGGCGGUCAACUAGAACGCGCCUGACGGUGAGGGACGAAAGCUGGGGGAGCGAACCGGAUUAGACACCCGGGUAGUCCCAGCUGUAAACGAUGCGGGCUAGGUGUUGGAGCAGCCACGAGCUGCUCCAGUGCCGCAGAGAAGUUGUUAAGCCCGCCGCUUGGGAAGUACGGCCGCAAGGCUGAAACUUAAAGGAAUUGGCGGGGGAGCACCACAAGGGGUGAAGCCUGCGGUUCAAUUGGAGUCAACGCCGGGAAACUUACUAGGGCUGACAGCAGGGUGAAGGCCAGACUAAAGAUCUUGCCAGACAAGCUGAGAGGUGGCGCAUGGCCGUCGACAGUUCGUGCCGUGAGGUGUCCUGUUAAGUCAGGCAACGAACGAGACCCUCACUGUUAGUUGCCAGCGGGUUCCAACGGAAUGCCGGGCACACUAAUGGGACCGCCACUGAUAAGGUGGAGGAGGGAGGGGGCCACGGCAGGUCAGUAUGCCCCGAAUGCCCUAGGCCACACGCGGGCUGCAAUGGUAGGGACAGAGGGUUCUGACCUCGAAAGGGGAAAGUAAUCCCUAAACCCUAUCGCAGUUGGAAUUGAGGGCUGUAACUCGCCCUCAUGAAUCUGGAAUCCCUAGUAAUCGCGCGUCAUCAUCGCGCGGUGAAUACGUCCCCGCUCCU